GAUCAUGGCUCAGAACGAACGCUGGUGGCGUGUCUUAUACAUGCAAGUCGAGCGAGGCAGCAAUGCCGAGCGGCGAACGGGUGAGUAACGCGUAAGCAAUCUGCCCCAUAUCAGGAAAUACCCGUGCCAACGCGCGGUUAAUGUCCAGGAGAGUGGCCUUCCGCAUGGAGGGUUGACUAGAGAUUUAUCGGUAUGGGAUGAGCUUGCGUCCGAUUAGCUAGUUGGCGGGGCAACGGCCCACCAAGGCGACGAUCGGUAGCCGGCCUGAGAGGGUGAUCGGCCACAUUGGGACUGAGAUACGGCCCAGACUCCUACGGGAGGCAGCAGUAGGGAAUAUUGCACAAUGGGGGAAACCCUGAUGCAGCAACGCCACGUGUGGGAAGAAGCAUUUCGGUGUGUAAACCACUGUCAUGAGGGAAUAAGGCCCGCCUUCGGACGGGAUUGAAUGUACCUUGAGAGGAAGCACCGGCAAACUUCGUGCCAGCAGCAGC
This 491-nucleotide ribosomal RNA is filed under the name uncultured bacterium. Its description in RNAcentral is "bacterial SSU rRNA". It matches the Rfam family "Bacterial small subunit ribosomal RNA", at positions 15 to 518 of the family's 1533-position model. The record is from RNAcentral.